Molecule: ribosomal RNA, 253 nt
Filed under: uncultured bacterium
Lineage: Bacteria
Description: partial 16S ribosomal RNA
Rfam family: Bacterial small subunit ribosomal RNA
Source: RNAcentral
UACGUAGGGCGCAAGCGUUGUCCGGAAUUAUUGGGCGUAAAGGGCGCGUAGGCGGCUGUACAAGUCAAAGGUGAAAUCCCUCGGCUCAACUGAGGAACUGCCUUUGAAACUGUACGGCUUGAGGCCGGGAGGGGGUAGCGGAAUUCCCAGUGUAGCGGUGAAAUGCGUAGAUACUGGGAGGAACACCAGUGGCGAAGGCGGCUACCUGGACCGGUUCUGACGCUGAGGCGCGAAAGCGUGGGUAGCAAACAGG